AUGAUGAAUUUGUUUUGUGUUUGUCCUUGGCUAGAUCAGUCUAUUGGGUUGGGUCACAAGAGCUUUAAACAAAUAAUAUUUUUAAAAGUUUUUUCAGGUAUUGUUCUUUGGUCUCUACACAUGUGGCUAGCCAACAUAAAAGGGCUAAGAUCAUGUAAUCCUACUCAAUCUGAUCAAUAUAAAGGUUCUGGAAAUAAAGGAAAAGGAAGUGGAUCUAAUGGACAAGACAAAGUGAGCUCAGUAGAACCAAUUUUGCCUAGUUGUUACCAUCUUCCGACUCAGACUCACACCCGGACAAAUUUCUAG
Molecule: ribosomal RNA, 306 nt
Filed under: Triticum aestivum (bread wheat)
Lineage: Eukaryota; Viridiplantae; Streptophyta; Magnoliopsida; Poales; Poaceae
Description: partial small subunit ribosomal RNA
Source: RNAcentral